This 378-nucleotide long non-coding RNA is filed under the name Capsicum annuum. RNAcentral's name for it is "long non-coding RNA (CANN_LNC021525)". Lineage: Eukaryota; Viridiplantae; Streptophyta; Magnoliopsida; Solanales; Solanaceae. The record is from RNAcentral.
CUUGCUUCAUAUUUGUAUAUAGUCAUUUUUUAUCUGAUCUUUAUGCCUUAACAACUCCCAAGCACUAUUGGUUAUUAAUUUUUCAUAGGUUGUAGGCAUUCACCAAGGGCUUCCCCAAUUACCCUGUAAAGUCUCAAUUUGAAUCUCCUCCUUGAUGUACUCUAUAAUAUCUUCUGGGAACACAUGUUGUAGGGUGUGCUCCUUUAUAUCUUCCUUCUUCAAUCAAUUCUGUAACAUCUUCCACUGUUUCAUCAAUGGGAAAAUCAGUGGAUACUACAUCAUAUAGUGCUCCCAGCUUAGAUCAAUUUUCAUACCAAACAUUUGUAGAUCUACUUUUAAUUUCCCACCAUAUUUCAUGCUCUACUUUCUCUCUUUCUU